Molecule: ribosomal RNA, 253 nt
Filed under: uncultured bacterium
Lineage: Bacteria
Description: partial 16S ribosomal RNA
Rfam family: Bacterial small subunit ribosomal RNA
Source: RNAcentral
UACGUAGGGUGCAAGCGUUAUUCGGAAUUACUGGGCGUAAAGCGUGCGCAGGCGGUUAUGUAAGUCAGGUGUGAAAUCCCCGGGCUUAACCUGGGAACUGCAUUUGUGACUGCAUAGCUAGAGUACGGUAGAGGGGGAUGGAAUUCCGCGUGUAGCAGUGAAAUGCGUAGAUAUGCGGAGGAACACCGAUGGCGAAGGCAAUCCCCUGGACCUGUACUGACGCUCAUGCACGAAAGCGUGGGGAGCAAACAGG